RNAcentral lists this transfer RNA (93 nucleotides) under Thermomonas carbonis. RNAcentral's name for it is "tRNA-Cys". The record is from RNAcentral. Lineage: Bacteria; Pseudomonadati; Pseudomonadota; Gammaproteobacteria; Lysobacterales; Lysobacteraceae.
UGGACUGGCGUGGCUGGCGCUUGCCGCGUCGCCCGCUGCAGCCGGUCGACCUGCCGGCCGCGGCGAUCGUCGGUGACCUCGACGCGGUCCGCC